Molecule: unclassified non-coding RNA, 1364 nt
Filed under: Zea mays
Lineage: Eukaryota; Viridiplantae; Streptophyta; Magnoliopsida; Poales; Poaceae
Description: misc RNA Zm00001eb199120
Source: RNAcentral
AUCCCUGCCUGCAUCUCAUACACCGGCCGCAAAAAAAAAGCAAUUUCACCACAUUAAUUAGCUUGCUGCACCAUCCAAAACCAUCGCCACCAUUCACCAUAACGCAACGCAAGCUUAACAUAAAUGAGGUCACAAAUGAACAUAAUGCUGCUGCAAAUCAGUACUGUACUACCACUCAUAUUCAUAUACGACAUGGACAGAAGAGGGAGGAACAUCCAAUUGGGGUGGAUGGGGAUGCCUUCCCUGCUAGCAUCACCAUCAGCAUCAGGAUCAAAUCAAUCGCUAUUAGCCUAUUACUACGAGUCUCCAUGGUCUCUCCUGGCCUUCUUCGGCGGCAAGACGCAGGCGGCGGCGGCGGCAGUGUCGCGGAACUGGCGCAACGCGUCCUUGAGCAUCCUGGCGUGGCGGGCGUCCGCCUCCUGCCACCCGCGCUCGAUCUCCCACUGCACCUCCAUGCGCCGCCGCUCCAGCCGCAUGACACCCUCGCCGAAAUCCCUCACCACAACCGAGAGCUGCGCGACAGCCCACCCAGAGCCGCCGCGGCGGGUCAUCUCCACGGCCACGGCCUCGUCCUUGGCCUGGAAUGCCUCGUAGGCCACCCUCUUGCGGGGGGGAGCGGUGGACGGCGUGAUGGAAGAAGGCGGCGGGUGGAGCUGCAGCUGCGGGUGGCGCGGGGCGAGGCCGGUGCCGAAUUCCCGGAUGAUGCCGUUGAUGCUCCGGGUGUUGUUGCGGGGGACGAGCUCUUCCACUUCUUCCUCCUCCUGCACGUCUUCCUCGUCCUCCUCUUCGUCGCCGUCGGCGGCAGGCGGCGAGCUAGCCGCGGCCGGGUAGGCUGCGAGGGCCCCCCGUUCGAGGCGAUCCAUGCGGCGGAAGUAGGGCCAGAGCGAGGUGACGGGGCGGGCGCCCUCGGUGCGGUAGCGCUUGCGGAGCUUCUCGAGCUUGUGCCGGCACUGCGUGCCCGUCUUGCGCUGAGCGAUGACCCCCGGGUUGGCGGCGCAACGGGCGGCGACCUCGGUCGCCACCUCCUCCCACUGGUGCGCCUUGAGCUGGCCGCGGCGCAGCGCCGUCCAGCGCUCCUCGUACGCGUCGAUGAGGUGCAUGGUCUCCACGUGCGACCACGGCUGCGCCGGCGCGCUCUUCCUCGCUAGCGCCGGUGGCGGAGGCUCGUCGGCCAUCGUCUGGUCACGGGAGGCUCAGAUCUAGAUCUGGGGGCGGGCGGCGACUACGGGUGCGGGUGAGGACGAGUAGUUGGGGGGAGGGGGCGGCGGCGGCGGUGGAGGAUAAGGCGCGGCUGGGUAUGGGUGGUGGGCGGUUGGGUUUUUGUGGGUGGGGCGUGCCGCGGCGGGUGGUGGCGGCGGUGGGGU